CAGUGUUCCUUGUGUAAUGGAAACUUUUAUUCCGCUCCUUGUGGCAGUAAAAGAAUUGCAAAGAAAAUUACUCCAGUCAACUGAGACAUGCUGUUUCCACGUCCUCCUUCCUUCCAGAUGAUAUCUGUCAGGAUAUGGAUUUAGAAGUCAGCAGUCUGGAAGUGAAAUCCCUUAGAACUGAAUGUGGAAAUGACCAGUGCAAAGGCUAAAACCUCUUAAGGGCAAGGAACACAAAUAGGAGGGAAAAAAAUAAGGCAAUCUUUUCAGACAAAGGAACAGCCUUUUGUGGGGAAAGAACAAAGGAAAAAAACAGAAGAAAGUGAUAAAGAGGACAUUUGGAACACUCAACAGAGAGAUGAGGAAGCAGUGUGAGCAACUUGGCAGAGUGUAAAAAAAGGAAAGAGAGGAUUUCAGUGCCUAUGGAAAUACUAACUUUAUUAUGAAACAGAAAAGGAAGGAAAAGCAAUAGCUGCAUUGCACUCACAAACAUUAUUGCAAUGGACUGUGAUCAGAACCAGCCUGGUAAAUCUGCACUACCCAGGUAGCCAGAAGAACAGAGAUUUCUGCUAAAAUUUAUCCCCAAAAGUCAUGAUUUUUUUUUCUUUUUUCUGCAGAGGGCUGUUUUAGAACAAUGAAUGUGCCAGUGUGUUCAAUGCAGUACAGCAAAAAUACCAGAGUUACAAUGAUGGAUGUGUGUAUAUGAAAGCAAGCAAUUUUUUGAGUAUUAUUCUUUUCUAUAAAAGCAAGAUAAAUGCUGACAUUUAAAUUGCCUUGAAAAAGAC
Molecule: long non-coding RNA, 782 nt
Filed under: Gallus gallus (chicken)
Lineage: Eukaryota; Metazoa; Chordata; Aves; Galliformes; Phasianidae
Description: long non-coding RNA NONGGAT008861
Source: RNAcentral